Molecule: ribosomal RNA, 446 nt
Filed under: uncultured bacterium
Lineage: Bacteria
Description: SSU rRNA
Rfam family: Bacterial small subunit ribosomal RNA
Source: RNAcentral
AGAACGAACGCUGGCGGCAUGCCUAACACAUGCAAGUCGAACGAGACCUUCGGGUCUAGUGGCGCACGGGUGCGUAACGCGUGGGAAUCUGCCCUUGGGUUCGGGAUAACAGUUGGAAACGACUGCUAAUACCGGAUGAUGACUUCGGUCCAAAGAUUUAUCGCCCAGGGAUGAGCCCGCGUAGGAUUAGCUAGUUGGUGAGGUAAAGGCUCACCAAGGCGACGAUCCUUAGCUGGUCUGAGAGGAUGAUCAGCCACACUGGGACUGAGACACGGCCCAGACUCCUACGGGAGGCAGCAGUGGGGAAUAUUGGACAAUGGGCGAAAGCCUGAUCCAGCAAUGCCGCGUGAGUGAUGAAGGCCUUAGGGUUGUAAAGCUCGUUUUACCCGGGAAGAUAAUGACUGUACCGGGAGAAUAAGCCCGGCUAACUCCGCGCCAGCAGCCGC